This 66-nucleotide transfer RNA is filed under the name Tasgius compressus. RNAcentral's name for it is "tRNA-Ile". The record is from RNAcentral. Lineage: Eukaryota; Metazoa; Arthropoda; Insecta; Coleoptera; Staphylinidae.
AAUAAAGUGCCUGAACUUAAAGGAUUAUUUUGAUGGAAUAACACAUGUGAAUUUUCACCUUUAUUA